UGAGUAACCUGCCCUUAACUCUGGGAUAAGCCUGGGAAACUGGGUCUAAUACCGGAUAUGACUCCUCAUCGCAUGGUGGGGGGUGGAAAGCUUUUUGUGGUUUUGGAUGGACUCGCGGCCUAUCAGCUUGUUGGUGAGGUAACGGCCCACCAAGGCGACGACGGGUAGCCGGCCUGAGAGGGUGACCGGCCACACUGGGACUGAGACACGGCCCAGACUCCUACGGGAGGCAG
Molecule: ribosomal RNA, 233 nt
Filed under: uncultured bacterium
Lineage: Bacteria
Description: partial 16S ribosomal RNA
Rfam family: Bacterial small subunit ribosomal RNA
Source: RNAcentral